Molecule: ribosomal RNA, 429 nt
Filed under: Bacteroidota bacterium
Lineage: Bacteria; Pseudomonadati; Bacteroidota
Description: Bacteroidetes bacterium partial 16S ribosomal RNA
Rfam family: Bacterial small subunit ribosomal RNA
Source: RNAcentral
UAGGGAAUCUUCCGCAAUGGACGCAAGUCUGACGGAGCAACGCCGCGUGAGUGAAGAAGGAUUUCGGUUCGUAAAACUCUGUUGUUAGAGAAGAACAGCGCAUAGAGUAACUGUUAUGCGUGUGACGGUAUCUAACCAGAAAGCCACGGCUAACUACGUGCCAGCAGCCGCGGUAAUACGUAGGUGGCAAGCGUUGUCCGGAUUUAUUGGGCGUAAAGCGAGCGCAGGCGGUCAAUUAAGUCUGAUGUGAAAGCCCCCGGCUCAACCGGGGAGGGUCAUUGGAGACUGGUUGACUUGAGUGCAGAAGAGGGGAGUGGAAUUCCAUGUGUAGCGGUGAAAUGCGUAGAUAUAUGGAGGAACACCAGUGGCGAAGGCGACUCUCUGGUCUGUAACUGACGCUGAGGUUCGAAAGCGUGGGUAGCAAACAGG